RNAcentral lists this ribosomal RNA (253 nucleotides) under uncultured bacterium. RNAcentral describes it as "partial 16S ribosomal RNA". It matches the Rfam family "Bacterial small subunit ribosomal RNA", at positions 524 to 776 of the family's 1533-position model. The record is from RNAcentral.
UACGUAGGGCGCAAGCGUUAUCCGGAAUUAUUGGGCGUAAAGAGCUCGUAGGCGGUUUGUCGCGUCUGCUGUGAAAGACCGGGGCUCAACUCCGGUUCUGCAGUGGGUACGGGCAGACUAGAGUGCAGUAGGGGAGACUGGAAUUCCUGGUGUAGCGGUGAAAUGCGCAGAUAUCAGGAGGAACACCGAUGGCGAAGGCAGGUCUCUGGGCAUUAACUGACGCUGAGGAGCGAAAGCAUGGGGAGCGAACAGG